This 506-nucleotide ribosomal RNA is filed under the name uncultured bacterium. RNAcentral's name for it is "partial 16S ribosomal RNA". It matches the Rfam family "Bacterial small subunit ribosomal RNA", at positions 29 to 523 of the family's 1533-position model. The record is from RNAcentral.
AGUGAACGCUGGCGGUAGGCCUAACACAUGCAAGUCGAACGGCAGCACAGAGGAGCUUGCUCCUUGGGUGGCGAGUGGCGGACGGGUGAGGAAUACAUCGGAAUCUACUCUGUCGUGGGGGAUAACGUAGGGAAACUUACGCUAAUACCGCAUACGACCUACGGGUGAAAGCAGGGGACCUUCGGGACUUGCGCGAAUGAAUGAGCCGAUGUCGGGUUAGCUAGUUGGCGGGGUAGAGUCCCACCAAGGCGACGCUCCGUAGCUGGUCUGAGAGGAUGAUCAGCCACUCUGGAACUGAGACACGGUCCAGACUCCUACAGGAGGCAGCAGUGGGGAAUAUUGGACAAUGGGCGCAAGCCUGAUCCAGCCGUACCGCGUGGGUGAAGAAGGCCUUCGGGUUGUAAAGCCCUUUUGUUGGGAAAGAAAUCCAGCUGGCUAAUACCCGGUUGGGAUGACGGUACCCAAAGAAUAAGCACCGGCUAACUUCGUGCCAGCCGCCGCCGUAA